AGCAAUCCUGGUGGCGAGUGGCGAACGGGUGAGUAAUACAUCGGAACGUGCCCUGUAGUGGGGGAUAACUAGUCGAAAGACUAGCUAAUACCGCAUACGACCUGAGGGUGAAAGUGGGGGACCGCAAGGCCUCAUGCUAUAGGAGCGGCCGAUGUCUGAUUAGCUAGUUGGUGGGGUAAAGGCCUACCAAGGCGACGAUCAGUAGCUGGUCUGAGAGGACGAUCAGCCACACUGGGACUGAGACACGGCCCAGACUCCUACGGGAGGCAGCAGUGGGGAAUUUUGGACAAUGGGGGCAACCCUGAUCCAGCAAUGCCGCGUGUGUGAAGAAGGCCUUCGGGUUGUAAAGCACUUUUGUCCGGGAAGAAGUCGCACCUGAUAAUACCGGGUGUGGAUGACGGUACCGGAAGAAUAAGGACCGGCUAACUACGUGCCAGCAGCCGCGGUAAUACGUAGGGUCCAAGCGUUAAUCGGAAUUACUGGGCGUAAAGCGUGCGCAGGCGGUUGUGCAAGACCGAUGUGAAAUCCCCGGGCUUAACCUGGGAAUUGCAUUGGUGACUGCACGGCUAGAGUGUGUCAGAGGGGGGUAGAAUUCCACGUGUAGCAGUGAAAUGCGUAGAGAUGUGGAGGAAUACCGAUGGCGAAGGCAGCCCCCCGGGGAUAACACUGACGCUCAUGCACGAAAGCGUGGGGAGCAAACAGGAUUAGAUACCCUGGUAGUCCACGCCCUAAACGAUGUCAACUAGUUGU
This 750-nucleotide ribosomal RNA is filed under the name uncultured bacterium. RNAcentral's name for it is "bacterial SSU rRNA". It matches the Rfam family "Bacterial small subunit ribosomal RNA", at positions 78 to 823 of the family's 1533-position model. The record is from RNAcentral.